This 473-nucleotide ribosomal RNA is filed under the name uncultured soil bacterium. RNAcentral describes it as "bacterial SSU rRNA". It matches the Rfam family "Bacterial small subunit ribosomal RNA", at positions 26 to 518 of the family's 1533-position model. The record is from RNAcentral.
AGGACGAACGCUGGCGGCGUGCUUAACACAUGCAAGUCGAGCGGUAAGGCCUUUCGGGGUACACGAGCGGCGAACGGGUGAGUAACACGUGGGUGAUCUGCCCUGCACUUCGGGAUAAGCCUGGGAAACUGGGUCUAAUACCGGAUAUGACCUCCUAUCGCAUGGUGGGUGGUGGAAAGAUUUAUCGGUGCAGGAUGGGCCCGCGGCCUAUCAGCUUGUUGGUGGGGUAAUGGCCUACCAAGGCGACGACGGGUAGCCGACCUGAGAGGGUGACCGGCCACACUGGGACUGAGACACGGCCCAGACUCCUACGGGAGGCAGCAGUGGGGAAUAUUGCACAAUGGGCGAAAGCCUGAUGCAGCGACGCCGCGUGAGGGAUGACGGCCUUCGGGUUGUAAACCUCUUUCAGCAGGACGAAGCGCAAGUGACGGUACCUGCAGAAGAAGCACCGCUAACUACGUGCCAGCAGCCGC